Molecule: ribosomal RNA, 301 nt
Filed under: uncultured bacterium
Lineage: Bacteria
Description: partial 16S ribosomal RNA
Rfam family: Bacterial small subunit ribosomal RNA
Source: RNAcentral
CAGUAGCCACGGUAAUACGUAGGUGGCAAGCGUUGUCCGGAAUUAUUGGGCGUAAAGGGCUCGCAGGCGGUUUCUUAAGUCUGAUGUGAAAGCCCCCGGCUCAACCGGGGAGGGUCAUUGGAAACUGGGAAACUUGAGUGCAGAAGAGGAGAGUGGAAUUCCACGUGUAGCGGUGAAAUGCGUAGAGAUGUGGAGGAACACCAGUGGCGAAGGCGACUCUCUGGUCUGUGACUGACGCUGAGGAGCGAAAGCGUGGGGAGCGAACAGGAUUAGAUACCCCGGUAGUCCCUGUCUCUUAUAU